This 363-nucleotide ribosomal RNA is filed under the name uncultured eukaryote. RNAcentral's name for it is "partial 18S ribosomal RNA". It matches the Rfam family "Eukaryotic small subunit ribosomal RNA", at positions 592 to 976 of the family's 1831-position model. The record is from RNAcentral.
CAAUAGCGUAUACUAAUGUUGUUGCAGUUAAAAAGCUCGUAGUUGAACUUCUGGUAGGAGUGUCCCGGCCUUUUUGUUUUUACAGAUUGUAUGCUGUGUGACAUCUCUGGCCAUCCUUCUUCUUUGUUUAAAGAAGAUCUUUCACUGUAAAAAAAUUAGGGUGUUCAAAGCAAAAGUUUCUUUGGAAUAUAUUAGUAUGGGAUGAUAAGAUAGGCUCUAGAUGCUAUUUUGUUGGUUUGCACAUUUAGAGAAUGAUUAACAGGGACAGUUGGGGGUAUUCGUAUUUACAUGUCAGAGGUGAAAUUCUUGGAUUUUGGAAAGACGAACUACUGCGAAAGCAUUUACCAAGGAUGUUUUCAUUAA